UACGUAGGGUGCGAGCGUUAAUCGGAAUCACUGGGCGUAAAGCGCGCGUAGGCGGUCUGUUAAGUGGGAUGUGAAAUCCCCGGGCUUAACCUGGGAAUUGCAUUUCAAACUGGCCGACUAGAGUACGGUAGAGGGAGGUAGAAUUUCCUGUGUAGCGGUGAAAUGCGUAGAUAUAGGAAGGAAUACCAGUGGCGAAGGCGGCCUCCUGGAUCGAUACUGACGCUGAGGCGCGAAAGCGUGGGGAGCAAACAGG
This 253-nucleotide ribosomal RNA is filed under the name uncultured bacterium. RNAcentral's name for it is "partial 16S ribosomal RNA". It matches the Rfam family "Bacterial small subunit ribosomal RNA", at positions 524 to 776 of the family's 1533-position model. The record is from RNAcentral.